GAUGAAGAACGCAGCGAAAUGCGAUACGUAAUGUGAAUUGCAAAUUCAGUGAAUCAUCGAGUCUUUGAACGCACAUUGCGCCCCCUGGUAUUCCGGGGGGCAUGCCUGUCCGAGCGUCAUUGCUGCCCUCAAGCACGGCUUGUGUGUUGGGCCCCGUCCUCCGAUCCCGGGGGACGGGCCCGAAAGGCAGCGGCGGCACCGCGUCCGGUCCUCGAGCGUAUGGGGCUUUGUCACCCGCUCAGUAGGCCCGGCCGGCGCUUGCCGAUCAACCCAAAUUUUUAUCCAGGUUGACCUCGGAUCAGGUAGGGAUACCCGCUGAACUUAAGCAUAUCAAUAAGCGGAGGA
RNAcentral lists this unclassified non-coding RNA (345 nucleotides) under soil metagenome. RNAcentral describes it as "partial contains 5.8S ribosomal RNA, internal transcribed spacer 2, and large subunit ribosomal RNA". The stretch from base 1 to 119 matches the Rfam family "5.8S ribosomal RNA", at positions 35 to 154 of the family's 154-position model. The record is from RNAcentral.